Molecule: ribosomal RNA, 382 nt
Filed under: uncultured eukaryote
Lineage: Eukaryota
Description: partial 18S ribosomal RNA
Rfam family: Eukaryotic small subunit ribosomal RNA
Source: RNAcentral
UGUAAGCGUAUACCAAGGUUGUUGCAGUUAAAACGCUCGUAGUCGGAAUUUGGCAGUUCCGGAUGUGUGCACGUCGUGUGCGCACUUCGCGGGGAUUGCUUUUGUGGUCUUGCGUAGGAUGAGGCACUUUUAUUAGUGAACGUCCUCACGCAACCACUUUUUACUGUGAGAAAAUCAGAGUGCUCAAAGCAGGCAUUUGCCGUGAAUGUAUUAGCAUGGAAUAAUAGAAUAGGACUUGGUUCUAUUUUGUUGGUUUGUUGGGACUGAGUAAUGAUUAAGAGGGACAGUUGGGGGCAUUUGUAUUUCGGUGCUAGAGGUGAAAUUCUUAGAUUACCGAAAGACAAACUGCUGCGAAAGCGUCUGCCAAGGAUGUUUUCAUUGG